UCUUAGAGCUGUCCAAAUCAUAUAUAAACAACAAACACGCAAAUCUCAGCGUCAAAUUUCUCCAACAUACAGACUUGAAUAGAAGAAAUCAUACAGCAUCAAUGAACACACUCAUCUUAGGAGAACACCUGGCUGCUUCAAAAACGCCUUCUCCGUCUGUAACACAAAGCAACUCCAUUAGAUUUUCUCUAUACACACACAAAAAAAAACAUUAUAUAUAUAGGUAGUUGUUAGGAAGAACCUGUUCCGCCAUGGUUGAGGGUUACGAAGGAAGCUGCACUGAAUGAGAAGAUAUGUUCGGUAUCAGUAAACCCUAAUUUGCAGCUGAGAAAAAGUGUUGUGUGGGCUUAGAG
This 353-nucleotide long non-coding RNA is filed under the name Capsicum annuum. RNAcentral's name for it is "long non-coding RNA (CANN_LNC006060)". Lineage: Eukaryota; Viridiplantae; Streptophyta; Magnoliopsida; Solanales; Solanaceae. The record is from RNAcentral.